AGAGAGAGACAUGCGUGCAUAUCAAUAAGCGGAGGAAAAGAAACUAACAAGGAUUCCCCUAGUAACGGCGAGUGAAGCGGGAAGAGCUCAAAUUUGAAAUCUUAAAGGGUUUCCCUUUACGAAUUGUAGUUUAAAGAAGUGUUUUCUGUUGAGGUUUUGGUAAAAGUUCUUUGGAAUAGGACAUCAUAGAGGGUGAGAAUCCCGUAUUUGACCUUUACUUUCAACUUUGUGAUACACUUUCAAAGAGUCGGAUUGUUUGGGAAUGCAGUCCAAAAUGGGUGGUAAAUUUCAUCUAAAGCUAAAUAUUGGCGAGAGACCGAUAGCGAACAAGUACCGUGAGGGAAAGAUGAAAAGAACUUUGAAAAGAGAGUUAAACAGUACGUGAAAUUGUCAAAAGGGAAGCGUUUGACACCAGUGUUGUUUUUCUGAAAAUCAAUUAAAGAACUGUUUAUGCUAAGUUGUUUAGACUUUAUCAGCUAACUGUUUAGUUUUGAGCUUUUCUUUAUUGCACUUUUCAGUUAACAAGUCAACAUCAAUUUCUUUUGCUGUAAAAAAGCUUGAGGAAGGUGGCUUGAGAUUCGUCUUAAGUGUUUAUAGCCUCUUGCCUAUGCAGUCGGAGAGAUUGAGGUCUGCAGCGUAGAUCCUUCGGGGCUAAAUGCAUUUGUGCUAAGUUAUAGCAUUUUAUAGACAACUUGUUGACUAUGAUUUGUCUUGUAGCUUACUCGCUUAUGUUAUUUUACCUACGCUUAGGAUGUUGAGCGCAUGUCUCUCUCU
RNAcentral lists this ribosomal RNA (774 nucleotides) under uncultured Neocallimastigales. RNAcentral describes it as "partial large subunit ribosomal RNA". It matches the Rfam family "Eukaryotic large subunit ribosomal RNA", at positions 23 to 616 of the family's 3401-position model. The record is from RNAcentral. Lineage: Eukaryota; Fungi; Neocallimastigomycota; Neocallimastigomycetes; Neocallimastigales.